GGAAGGAUCAUUAACACGUAUCCACGUAUAUCAACCAACUGUGAACAUGUUUUCAACUCUCCCUGCAUCUUACAUGAAUUGGAAUUGAAUCUAAAUAAUGAAAUGGGAAUUUGUCGUUCGCGACUAUUCUGUUUAGUUCAAACACUUGUGCGCUUCGGUGCACAGACAAUUGUAGUUCGACCGUCAGUCCAACCUUUUCUGCUAUCUGCUGCAGCCUUUCAUGGCAGCGAUAGUGGAAUACUCAUACACACUAAAAUCACCCCAUUUUUGCUAGUUGACUUUUAUAUGUUAAUUCGAGAGUUGCGCUUAAUUGCGCGCUUGAGUUACACGUUUAUUUAUUUGAACGUUAAAAUUACAACUCUUAGCAAUGGAUAUCUUGGUUCUCGCAACGAUGAAGAACGCAGCGAAAUGCGAUACGUAAUGCGAAUUGCAGAAUUCAGUGAAUCAUCAAAUCUUUGAACGCAAAUUGCGCUCUUGGGUAGCCCUAGGAGCACGCCUCCCUCUCAGUAUCGGUUCAACAACCUCUCAGCAGCGUAUUCUUUUAUAGAAUACGUGUUAGCUGGAUAAUGAGAGUCUGAUUCUUCACGAAUUAGUCUCUUGAAAUAUAUCGAGUGAGCAUCAUAUUCUUAUACUUCGAUGUCAUGUCGAAGCCGGUCUCUGACUGGUUGUUAUGAGAGUGACGUGAAUACUGGCCUGUUUUAUGGUCUCACAUUUACGUGUAACUUUCAUCAACUAUGAAAAAGUCUAGGAUAGGUGUGUAGGAAGAGUUGCCUCAUGUUACGCGGCCCUUAACCAGGCUGCAAUCGGCUUUGAUUUGAAAUUAAUUUUUCUAUCCAAGUCUGAAUUUUGAUCUGAGAUGAAGCGAGACAACCCCCUGAAUUUAAGCAUAUUAAUAAGGGGAGGAAAAGAAACUAACAAGGAUUCCCUUAGUAACGGCGAGUGAAGCGGGAAGAGCUCAAUUUGAAAAUCGACUACCUAAGCGGGUCGUCGAGUUGUAGCCUAGAGACGUACUAUCAGCUGAAACCUGGGUAUAAGUUCUUUGGAAUGAGGCAUCAUAGAGGGUGAGAAUCCCGUAUAUGACCCAAAGCUUUCAGCGUACGAUGUAUGUUCAUCGAGUCGAGUUGUUUGGGAUUGCAGCUCUAAAUGGGUGGUAAGUUUCAUCUAAAGCUAAAUAAUGGCGAGAGACCGAUAGCGAACAAGUACCGUGAGGGAAAGAUGAAAAGAACUUUGAAAAGAGAGUUAAAAGUACUUGAAAUUGCUAAGAGGGAAGCGCUGACAACUAGUGUUUCACUAUGUUCAUCGCCGUCAGCCCCAUUGAAAUGAGUGUGUCGUUGGAAACUCGACAUGGUCAUUUGAAAGGGUGGUUGGCGGUUUAGUACAUAUGUGUGAGUCAAGAUCCAUUCGGUUCUGCUGUGGGAGAAGGUGGGGAGAAAGGUAGGAUAUCUCGGUAUCUGUUAUAGUCUCCUCACUCUACCUCGGCCUGGAUGGAGGAAGGAAUAGUGCGCUGCUUGCGGCUUAGUCCUCAUCUCCUGCGAUCGAAAUUACUCUGAUAGCAAUGCUAUCUCUGUGAUGUAAGGUCGUACUGGGGUGGGUGACUCUAUGUGCUAUCACGAUCUUGUACGAAAUGGUUGUCAUCGACCCGUCUUGAAACACGGACCAAGGAGUCUAACAUCUAUGCGAGUAUUUGAGUGAAAAACUCUGAUGCGCAAUGAAAGUAAAGGCAACUUCGUGUUGCUGAGGUAGGAAUCCGGUCAAACGGAGGCACUAUCGACCGAUCAUCACUUGUGAAAGAUUUGAGUAAGAGCAUAUCUGUUGGGACCCGAAAGAUGGUGAUCUAUGCCUGAACAGGGUGAAGCCAGGAGAAAUUCUGGUGGAGGCUCGUAGCGAUACUGACGUGCAAAUCGUUCGUCUGAUUUGGGUAUAGGGGCGAAAGACUAAUCGAACCAUCUAGUAGCUGGUUCCCUC
This 1965-nucleotide unclassified non-coding RNA is filed under the name uncultured fungus. RNAcentral's name for it is "sequence contains 18S rRNA gene, ITS1, 5.8S rRNA gene, ITS2, 28S rRNA gene". The stretch from base 848 to 1965 matches the Rfam family "Eukaryotic large subunit ribosomal RNA", at positions 1 to 961 of the family's 3401-position model. The record is from RNAcentral. Lineage: Eukaryota; Fungi.